This is a microRNA precursor of Gallus gallus (chicken), 110 nucleotides long. The record is from Ensembl. Lineage: Eukaryota; Metazoa; Chordata; Aves; Galliformes; Phasianidae.
ACCUGGGAAGGUGACAAGCAGAGGAGCUGGGAGGAUGCAGCGGGAGGUAUCUCGCUUAAUUGCACCUGACAUUUCUCUUUCAUUUCCCAGUGUGUAAUGCAUUUCUUAAU